CACCUGCUCUUCCAAGUGUUCUUCAGCACUCUGGAUAUGCCAGAAGAGGUGGAUACCUUCUGGAAGGGAUGCCAGGAAGAACACGGCCUUGCCACCAGCCCCAACAGGUUUGCAGUGCGGACCCUCAAGUCCCUGCUCUGCCUUCUCCGCUGUGAGGAUGUGGUGGUGGCAAUGGAACGCAAGGGUGCCUGGGACACGCUGCUCUGUGCUGACACCCACCACUAUGCCGUGGGUCUGCUGGCCAGAGAAAUUCGCCUGUCAUCCAUACACUUUUGUUGUGGGAUUGCAUUCUACCUGCUAGGCCUGCUCAGCAAAGAGAUGCCAUACUGGGAUUUCCCUG
Passer domesticus (house sparrow) is the source of this 340-nucleotide long non-coding RNA. RefSeq lists it as uncharacterized. NCBI's taxonomy places the organism in Eukaryota, Metazoa, Chordata, Aves, Passeriformes, Passeridae. The transcript is spliced from 3 exons. The record is from RefSeq and is a predicted model, not a curated record.